AUACCCAUUCUAAAGACUAGCACAGAAUGGUAAAGUAAGUCUCCAUAAAACCCAGAGAAAAGAUUGAAGAACUCUUUGGAUCCUGUCUGGAGUCACAGCU
This is a small nucleolar RNA of Vicugna pacos (alpaca), 100 nucleotides long. RefSeq annotates it as small nucleolar RNA SNORA26. The record is from RefSeq and is a predicted model, not a curated record. Lineage: Eukaryota; Metazoa; Chordata; Mammalia; Artiodactyla; Camelidae.